Dromaius novaehollandiae (emu) is the source of this 2201-nucleotide long non-coding RNA. Lineage: Eukaryota; Metazoa; Chordata; Aves; Casuariiformes; Dromaiidae. The record is from Ensembl.
AGCCCAGUGCCGGAAGACUACCGCUCCCGGCAUGCCGCGCAAAACAGCACGGCCUCCCGGAAGCCCAGUGCCGGAAGACUACCGCUCCCGGCAUGGCGCGCGAAACAACAUGGCAUCCCGGAAGCCCAGUGCCGGAAGACUACCACUCCCGGCAUGCAGCGCAAAACAACAUGGCCUCCCGGAAGCCCGGUGCCGGAAGACUACCGCUCCCGGCAUGCCGCGUAAAACAACACGGCCUCUCCGGAAGCCCAGUGCCGGAAGAGUACCGCUCCCCGUAUGCCAGCGCCCUUCCCGCCCACCUGCAGCGCUCAGUGAAGUUUCACCCUGUUAAGGUUCCUUUCCGUCCCGGUUCCUUUUUCCCCCUGUCCCCCCCGGAAACCGCCGCAGAGCCCGGAGCGCGACCUCGUGAUCCCCAGCACGGGCCCGGGGCUCUCCCGACGCUGCCGCGACCGGCCCCAGAAACAAUAGCUGGAAGCAAGUCUGCCAUGGAGCUCAGUGUCAGCAUGCUUCCCCUUACCUGUGAUGCCUGAAGAGUCAUCACCACACCAGCGUCCAUCCAUCCAUCAGGGAAGGGUCAGCUCCUGCUGCUGCCCUUGAUGUGGCAGGUGUCCGAGUAGCCAAUAGCCUACUCCUCUGCUUUUUUCUGCAGGGAUAGGAUUCAGCUCCGAGAGCUGAGAGGAAAAGCCUGAUCUUGCCUGUCUGCACUUCUGCCCUACCCCAGGCUAGAGCCCUGCAAGACACUUCCACAGCUCUCAGCUCGCCUGUCACAUUGCCAGUCUCUGUGUGAUGGGCCUGUGCCAUAUCAAAUCCAGARCUCAGGUCAGUGYRCAGAGCUGAACGCUGGGUACAGGGGAAGGUUACAAAGCCCAAAGAAGGGUUUGCAGCCUGCUGCUUAGGCUUCAGGGCUUACAGUUUAUUAUCUAAGGAUUCAGCCCUUUUCCUUUAUCAGUAAGUCAUAAGCCCUGAACCCUAAACUCAACGCAUCCUUCGUCUGGAAGCGAUGGCGGGGAGGGGGGCAGGGUUGUCGACAGCCCAUUGUAGCCCCUCAGGAAGCACUAAAUCAACGACACGGGUUGAGCUGUAGACRUAGGGAAGACACCAGUUUGCAUAAAGGCAGACCUGACAGAAAAGUGGGCUCGAUGCCAGCGUCACGAUCACGAGUCAAGCUGCACCAUGCGGCAGCCCUGGCUGCGCGCAGGCAGACAAGAGGCAGUAACUGCAGACCGUGCUGACAAGUAGGACAGACAGCAGCAGCAGCUCCAGACUGCCCUACUGCGAGCGCCUGUCCUAACGCCCGAGGACUCGGAGCCUCUGCUGCUCUCUGCCUCUGCGACACCUUUCUCAGGAGCCUCUUCGCUGUCGACUACACACCCCACGGCAUCUCUAGCUCACUAGUGCUCCCCCGCUGCACACCCACAGCCCUGUGUGUGGAGAACAGACAAGGCACUGUUUACUCCAAAGGCCUGCUGAAGAGGGGAAGGUAUCACUGUUCACAGAUGGGGAGUGGGACCGUGCGUAGGCCGGGUAGUCUCUCCCUUCCUGUGGACACACACCCCAGCUUGUGCAGGAUAUGAUAACAAUGCCUUUGUCACCACCUCCGCUAUUAUCUGCUACCAACCACUUGCGGCCUAAACUAAUGUCGAGAGCCUGACCCACACCAAAGCUGCCUCAUAAAUCAAGUGAAAAGGGAAAUUAAUAUCUACAGCUACAUGCUGAUCAGGCAUGAGAACCCAUGAUGGGGGGCCUCCACUAUUUAGUUCUCUAAUUCUGAAGGGUGGAAAUCUUUGUCACAAGUUUUCAUCAAUUUCUUUUCCCUUCCCUUUUGAAAACCCAGUCAGCAGGUUGAGCCCAGAGGAGUGUGUCAGAGUGACAUAGGUUCUGGCUACUGAUAAGGAUGCCAAGAAACCUAAUCACAAUAGACAUGCGGCUUAGAAGCCUAUAAAAUGUGAUAAUAACAACAGCUCUUUGGAGCUCUCUCUCAGCUUGUCUGGGACCCACACCCCCCCCUUAUUGCAUCCUGCACACUUGAGACCCUCGCCCGAUGUGGAACAGGUCAUAUUACCCCUGCUUGCUCUGUAUAUAGUGUAGUGUGUUAUUUUUACCCUGUUAAAUACGGAACUUGCUAUAUUGUUUAAACUCUCUUGCUUAAGGAUACUGGUGUACUUAAUAAAUAUCUGAAACCUGAUAACCGCCUGGCUGUU